Suricata suricatta (meerkat) is the source of this 572-nucleotide long non-coding RNA. RefSeq lists it as uncharacterized. The record is from RefSeq and is a predicted model, not a curated record. Lineage: Eukaryota; Metazoa; Chordata; Mammalia; Carnivora; Herpestidae. The transcript has 2 exons.
AUUUGAAGAAAUAAUGGCUACAAAGUCUCCUAAUCUGGGGCAUCUCAAGGGUACUUUGGGGAAGUCUCACAAGACGAUGAAAGAUUAAAGAACUAGAUCCAUGGUACCAUAUAGAUUGAUCAGAAAACCACCAUAUAGGAUCCAUAUACCAUCAACUCACUCCUAAAUGACUUCUAAAAUUAUUUCUAAACAGUUUUGGCAUCUAUAUGUGCAUUCAUUCCAGCAAGAAGCAAUUAUUAUACCAUGCCUGGCAUUAUACAGUAUAAAGUUUUCCUGAACUAUUCUGCAAUCUACCAACAAACUCUGUAUCUGGCUAAAACAAGAAUAUAUUAAAAAUUACUAUUUCAUGGCAGUAGACAUACCCAAUACUCACUGAGAGGAUUCUUGCCUUCCACAGCUGCUUUCAAUUUAAAUAACCACCUAUAAAGACAAGACAAAGUGUACUUUCUGAAAUGUUAAAAAUGAGGAAAGGCAAGUCCAAAAGAAACAACACACAGACCAACAGCUUUCCUUUUUAACACUUUGCUCCUCUUCUUGCGAUUCAAAAAAAAAAAAAAAAAAAAAAAAAAAAA